RNAcentral lists this ribosomal RNA (296 nucleotides) under uncultured bacterium. Its description in RNAcentral is "partial 16S ribosomal RNA". It matches the Rfam family "Bacterial small subunit ribosomal RNA", at positions 333 to 627 of the family's 1533-position model. The record is from RNAcentral.
UGGUCCCUACGGGGCGCAGCAGUGAGGAAUAUUGGUCAAUGGCCGCAGGGCUGAACCAGCCAAGUCGCGUGAGGGAUGACGGUCCUAUGGAUUGUAAACCUCUUUUGCCAGGGAGCAAAGGGCGCCACGUGUGGCGCUUUGCGAGUACCUGAAGAAAAAGCAUCGGCUAACUCCGUGCCAGCAGCCGCGGUAAUACGGAGGAUGCGAGCGUUAUCCGGAUUUAUUGGGUUUAAAGGGUGCGCAGGCGGAAUGUCAAGUCGGCGGUAAAAUUUCGGGGCUCAACCCCGUCGUGCCGU